Molecule: long non-coding RNA, 1333 nt
Filed under: Bemisia tabaci
Lineage: Eukaryota; Metazoa; Arthropoda; Insecta; Hemiptera; Aleyrodidae
Description: lncRNA ENSSSA2NGG001486
Source: RNAcentral
AAACUAAAAAGUUGCGUAAAGUCGAUGAACCAGUCGCUAGGCCACGCGGCGAGGAGCCCAAGACGGCUGUAACGGUGCGUGAUGGGUACGGCGCGUCGAAAUCCGCGGAUAAAAAUGGUCAUAACUUCUGUACCAAUCGUUUCCCCGCCAAGUAUGACACAUCGAUAGAUGCGGAAUCAGACGAGGAAUCGAUUGGACAUAUUUUUUUUAAAAUCAAAAAAUAGCUUUUUUGGGUAUUUACGAACAUGUAAAAUUCGACAGAUCAAAAAUCCAAAAAAAGAGGUAAAUCGUCAGUUUAAUGUUACGUUCCGUACAAAAAUCAUACAUAAAACAAAAGUGCAUGAUUUUUAAAGAAUUUUAGCGCAAACCGCAGAUCAAUAACUCAAUUGGUUCAAAAGUUAUCGAAUUUUUAAGGUUGCAACUUGGCAACGCCGCCAAAGCGCGGGAAAAUUUUUUUUGGACUUGAAAUUAUCAGAAACGGGGCUCUUUGUUAUGGUAAAAUAGCAUACUAAAAAAUGGAAGCAAUCGGAGCUACGGGGGAUUUGGCCGUUUUGCAUAAGGCUCUUUGUAAUUUGUUGCAUCUAGGAAAUUUAUUACGAGCAAAUUAAUUUGAUAUCAUUUUCUGGACGAAUGAAAGUUGAUCUAAACUGGCCACCAAUUGCUGGGCGUCUGCAGUGGAUGAUUAAACUUAAAAGUCGAAUGGAUUCUUGCUUCCAAAAGUACAAAGAAUGGGAUUGCAAAGUUGUCCAGUCAGAGGAGUCUUUGAAUGUGCUUAAAAAGUAUGAUGACCUAAUGUUAAAACUGAAUGAUCUUGAACUCAGCACAAUUUCUAAAUGGGUGAACGAGAUUCAGGACAUAAUUAGAAAACAUAUGAACAAAAGUCUUUUGCAACAGAUGUUCAGACCCAUUUGCUGUCCAUAAAUUAUAGUGCAGAGGUGAGUUUUUGGUUCGCGCACUCCGGUCAAUUUUAAAACUUCAUGUGUAUUCUUUACUAACUGUUCGGGGUGCGUUUCGUGCGCUCUCACAGCUAGACAGGUGGUAUCUUCCUACAUCACCGGUCGCUCGAGUGACUUUAAGACUCGCAUAGCGACCUUUAUUCUAAUGAUUAAUUACCUAGUUUGUUUUUUGAAACAUAUAAUGAAUCGAAAUUUAUAAUUGUUUUCAAAUAUUUUAGUACCUUUCGUCCUAAUUUUAUUGUUAUUUUAGUUUAAUCCACAUUUGACGAAUCAAGAACUUGUGCCCACUGGCUUACUGAAAAAAAUUGCCUUGAAAAAGAAAACAUAUUACGCUUUCAAGAUACGAGUUCUUCAUAAACAAUAUUUUUCGUUGUUAC